Molecule: ribosomal RNA, 491 nt
Filed under: uncultured Ruminobacter sp.
Lineage: Bacteria; Pseudomonadati; Pseudomonadota; Gammaproteobacteria; Aeromonadales; Succinivibrionaceae
Description: bacterial SSU rRNA
Rfam family: Bacterial small subunit ribosomal RNA
Source: RNAcentral
AGAGUUUGAUCCUGGCUCAGGAUGAACGCUGGCGGCAGGCUUAAUACAUGCAAGUCGAACGGUAACAUGAGAAAGCUUGCUUUCUUGAUGACGAGUGGCGGACGGGUGAGUAAUGCCUGGGAAGCUGCCUGAAUGAGGGGGACAACACCUGGAAACGGGUGCUAAUACCGCGUAUACCCUGAGGGGGAAAGACCGGAUACGGUCACAUUCAGAUGCGCCCAGGUGGGAUUAGCUAGUUGGUGGGGUAACGGCCUACCAAGGCGACGAUCUCUAGCUGGUCUGAGAGGAUGAUCAGCCACACUGGAACUGAGACACGGUCCAGACUCCUACGGGAGGCAGCAGUAGGGAAUAUUGCACAAUGGGGGGAACCCUGAUGCAGCCAUGCCGCGUGAGCGAAGAAGUAUUUCGGUAUGUAAAGCUCUAUCAGCAGGGAAGAAAAUGACGGUACCUGACUAAGAAGGACCGGCUAAUUCCGUGCCAGCAGCCGCGGU